UUUAACCUACGGGGCGCAGCAGUAGGGAAUCUUCCACAAUGGGCGAACGCCUGAUGGAGCAACGCCGCGUGGGUGAAGAAGGUCUUCGGAUCGUAAAACCCUGCUGUUAGAGAAGAAAGUGCGUGAGAGUAACUGUUCACGUUUCGACGGUAUCUAACCAGAAAGCCACGGCUAACUACGUGCCAGCAGCCGCGGUAAUACGUAGGUGGCAAGCGUUAUCCGGAUUUAUUGGGCGUAAAGGGAACGCAGGCGGUCUUUUAAGUCUGAUGCGAAAGCCUU
RNAcentral lists this ribosomal RNA (279 nucleotides) under uncultured bacterium. RNAcentral describes it as "partial 16S ribosomal RNA". It matches the Rfam family "Bacterial small subunit ribosomal RNA", at positions 333 to 604 of the family's 1533-position model. The record is from RNAcentral.